AUCUGCGACUGAAACAUCCACUAUUAGUGCAGCAGAAACAUGUACAUCAACAGAGAUAUCCACAAUCCCAAUAAUUCCUGCUAAAACAUCCACUAUCAAUGUAGAAGAAACAUCUACAACAACGGAGACUUCCACAAUAACAACUCCUGCGGAAACUUCCACCACUAGUGUUGCAGAACAAUCUUCAACAAUAGAGACUUCCUCACUCACAACAACUGAGGCUGAAAUAUCAAUUACUAGUGCUUCAGAAACAUCUACAACGACAGAGACUUCCACAUUCAAAACUACUGCUGAAAUAUCCACUACUAGUGUAGCAGAAUCAUCUACAACAGUGGAGCCAGUAUAUGAAGUGAAUAUUAAGCUGGAAUUCCGCUCUAAAGAUUCUUUCAUAGAUGACCUCAAUGAUCGACAGUCUCCUGCUUUCAAAAACAGGGCUAUGCUUGUUCAGGAUAUUCUUACACUUAAGUUCAAGAAGUUCCAUUCCUUCCUUAGAGUCACUGUGCUACUAUUCAGCAAGGGAUCGGUCAUUACCACAUCAGAACUUGCUUUCAACUCUACACAGACUGUGCCAUCAGAACUCCAAAUUGCAGAAGAAUUACUGAGUGAUGAUACAACAAUCAAUGCCCUGAGCAUAACUUCAUUUUCAGUUAAUAAUACAGAAUACCUAUCAACAACAACAACUCCUGCUACAACAUCUAAAGCAACAACAGAGCUGUCCACAAUCACAACUACUGCAACUGAAACAUCCACUACUAGUGCAGCAGAAACAUCUACAACAGCGGAUACUUCCUCAAUCACAAUAUCUACUGC
Molecule: long non-coding RNA, 810 nt
Organism: Carassius carassius (crucian carp)
Lineage: Eukaryota; Metazoa; Chordata; Actinopteri; Cypriniformes; Cyprinidae
Exons: 4
Source: RefSeq, a predicted model, not a curated record